AGAAAGAGGGAAUAGAGAGAUGGAAACAUUGAUGAGAAAGAGACAUUAGUUGCUGCCUUCUGCACACCUCCGACUAGGGUUCAAACCCUCAACCCGGGCAUGUGCCCUAACUGAGAAUCAAGCCGAGGACCUCUUAGUUCAUGGGUCAACCACUGAGCCACACCAGUGCUGGGAUGCAGGCCCCUUGAGGUUACUGUCCCUGACAAAUGCUGGUUCAUGUUCUUCAUCGAGAGAUUUUUGAAGCUUGUGGGCAAGACCGAAGAAGCAGAAGCGUCGUUCUUAAAUGCUGAGGACAGAUUUGCUGCUGGAAACAAUUCUCUUGCAAACACAAAAUUUCGAGACUGCUUAACUCCCAGGAGAAGUGUUUGGGGGAGAAAAACAUCCUCGUUGGAGAAAUUAUGGAAUUUUUAGCAGAUUUACUGAUUAUCCAUUAAGAGAGAGUGGAAGACUCCAAAGGAAGAAAGCAAUUGAAUAUUAUAAACAAGUGAUAAAAAUAAAGGGAAAUGCAAGCCCUCUGGCCAACUCUUCACACGUCAGGAAGCAGCUGAGCAUCAACCUACGUGAUGCCUGUUGUAACACCAUGCUCAACCACAUUUCUCUCGUCAGUGCGUCCCAUCUUUCUUCAACUUCUGUUUAAGACACUUUGUAUAGGAAUAGGCUUUUCACGAAUAACCAUGACACGAAGUAACACGUGACCUGAAGUAACAAAUGGCACUUCACAUGGGCCCACCUUGGAUUUUACUUAUGGAAUGUAGGACUUAGUGCCUCAGACCCAACCCAGAGAUCCGAAGGUACUUUCUGAUUAAAGAUAAAAACUUAAAAACUUAAAAAUGAAAUUAAAGUUAAACACUGAAUUUAAAAAUGUGGUCUCCGAUCUCACUAGGAGGGGAAGUUGGGUCCGUCUACUCCUCUUGGUACUUGUUGGUUCUGUUAUUACUGUUUUGCUCCCCUUCCUGGUAGGAGUUCCCAUGGCUUCUCUGGAGUUUUUUCCACCGGAAUGUUGAUAUUAUCACCCGUGGUUUAUAGUGAAGGUUCAGUUCCUUCUUCGCUGGUACUAGUUCAGUUCGGUGGAUUUAUUCACACUGUAAGGGUGGUCUUCCAAGGUCACUAUUAAAGAACUCCUCAGAGGCCUCACGGGAGACAGGGCUAUGCUCCAGGCUCUGCUACUGCCAGGGCCAGAGUGGCUGGGCCUUAUCAUGUAUGACCUCAGUUCUUAUUUGGCCCAGCAGGCCAUUCGCUUAUUCUGCAGGUAGUGGCUACUCAGUGCCUGGAAUGUUGCUGCCAAACUUGGGAACUGAGGAGAAUGGAGAGUUGAAUUGGAGGCUGCAAAUAAUGUUGGGACAGUAAGCUGGAGACAGGCCACAGCUGGAGAAUGAGGUGGGGGUAGUCAGAGGUGUGGCAGUGCCUCCCAACCCUCUGAGGGUGGGUUACUGGUGUGCCAAAUAGAGACCUCUGAGCCCUUGGCCGGCUUUGCUUAUUUAUUCUAGCGGGCUAUACAAGAAAUAUUGUUUUCUAUAAGUACCUUGGGGCUUCAAAGGGGAAGAAGGUCAUUGAGGGAUG
Long non-coding RNA from Myotis daubentonii (Daubenton's bat), 1560 nucleotides. RefSeq lists it as uncharacterized. The record is from RefSeq and is a predicted model, not a curated record. Lineage: Eukaryota; Metazoa; Chordata; Mammalia; Chiroptera; Vespertilionidae.